CGCGGGGUGGAGCAGCCCGGUAGCUCGUCAGGCUCAUAACCUGAAGGUCGUAAGUUCAAAUCUUACCCCCGCAACCA
RNAcentral lists this transfer RNA (77 nucleotides) under Bradyrhizobium sp. RNAcentral describes it as "tRNA-Met". It matches the Rfam family "tRNA". Rfam says of the family: Transfer RNA (tRNA) molecules are approximately 80 nucleotides in length. Their secondary structure includes four short double-helical elements and three loops (D, anti-codon, and T loops). Further hydrogen bonds mediate the characteristic L-shaped molecular structure. tRNAs have two regions of fundamental functional importance: the anti-codon, which is responsible for specific mRNA codon recognition, and the 3' end, to which the tRNAs corresponding amino acid is attached (by aminoacyl-tRNA synthetases). tRNAs cope with the degeneracy of the genetic code in two manners: having more than one tRNA (with a specific anti-codon) for a particular amino acid; and 'wobble' base-pairing, i.e. permitting non-standard base-pairing at the 3rd anti-codon position. The record is from RNAcentral. RNAcentral also lists the same sequence under 5 other names. Lineage: Bacteria; Pseudomonadati; Pseudomonadota; Alphaproteobacteria; Hyphomicrobiales; Nitrobacteraceae.